AGUGAACGCUGGCGGCGUGCUUAACACAUGCAAGUCGAACGAGAACGGAUUAUAGCUUGCUAUAAUUGUCAGCUAAGUGGCGCACGGGUGAGUAAUGUAUAGGUAAUAUGCCUCUUACUAAGGGAUAACAAAUGGAAACGUUUGCUAAUACCUUAUACUCCUUAUUAACAUAAGUUAAUAAGGGAAAGAUUUAUUGGUAAGAGAUUAGCCUGUAUUGUAUCAGUUAGUUGGUGGGGUAAUGGCUUACCAAGACUAUGACACAUAACUGGUUUGAGAGGAUGAUCAGUCACACUUGAACUGAGACACGGUCCAGACUCCUACGGGAGGCAGCAGUGGGGAAUAUUGCACAAUGGACGAAAGUCUGAUGCAGCAACGCCGCGUGGAGGAUGACACAUUUCGGUGCGUAAACUCCUUUUAUGUGAGAAGAUAAUGACGGUAUUAUAUGAAUAAGCACCGGCUAACUCCGUGCCAGCCGCCGCAGUAA
RNAcentral lists this ribosomal RNA (484 nucleotides) under uncultured bacterium. RNAcentral's name for it is "partial 16S ribosomal RNA". It matches the Rfam family "Bacterial small subunit ribosomal RNA", at positions 29 to 523 of the family's 1533-position model. The record is from RNAcentral.